CCUCCCCGCGCCGCCUCCCCGCAGCCCUUGGGCAGCCUCAGGCUGCAGCGCCUCUGCCCAGCGCCCAGGAGCCGGGCUUGUCGGCGUGCGUCGCCGCUUAUCUGCGCUGUUUGGACAGCGAGGGUUUGAAAGGCAGGCUUUUCUGUCCCCGCCGAGUCAACAGGCAGACCCCGGGCCGCCGGACUAUUUCUGUCUUAUCAGUGCAGGAAUGCGGCAGCCGCGGCGGCGGCGACGGCGGCGGCGGGCGGGCGGCGGCGGCGUGGGCCGUGGGCCGUCAGGGCAGCCCUGAAGGGGCCCCCUCCCCACUCCGCUCGAGUAGAAGUGUGAGAGAGCCCAGCAGGACUCAGAGGGGAGAGUUGGAGGGAAAAAAAGGCAGAAAAGGGAAAGAAAGAGGAAGAGAGAGAGAGAGAGUGAGAGGAGCCGCUGAGCCCACCCCGAUGGCCGCGGACGAAGUUGCCGGAGGGGCGCGCAAAGCCACGAAAAGCAAACUUUUUGAGUUUCUGGUCCAUGGGGUGCGCCCCGGGAUGCCGUCUGGAGCCCGGAUGCCCCACCAGGGGGCGCCCAUGGGCCCCCCGGGCUCCCCGUACAUGGGCAGCCCCGCCGUGCGACCCGGCCUGGCCCCCGCGGGCAUGGAGCCCGCCCGCAAGCGAGCAGCGCCCCCGCCCGGCCAGAGCCAGGCCCAGAGCCAGGGCCAGCCGGUGCCCACCGCCCCCGCGCGGAGCCGCAGUGCCAAGAGAAGGAAGAUGGCUGACAAAAUCCUCCCUCAAAGGAUACGGGAGCUGGUCCCUGAGUCCCAGGCUUAUAUGGACCUCCUGGCGUUUGAGAGGAAACUGGAUCAAACCAUCAUGCGGAAGCGGGUGGACAUCCAGGAGGCUCUGAAGAGGCCAAUGAAGCAAAAGCGAAAGUUGCGUCUUUAUAUCUCCAAUACUUUUAACCCUGCGAAACCCGAUGCUGAGGAUUCUGAUGGCAGCAUUGCCUCCUGGGAGCUGCGGGUGGAGGGGAAGCUCCUGGAUGAUGUACGUCCUGGCCCAGGUCUCUCCAGGUGUCCUGGGCCCAGUAAGCAGAAGCGGAAGUUCUCUUCCUUCUUCAAGAGUUUGGUCAUUGAGCUGGACAAAGACCUCUAUGGCCCUGACAACCACCUAGUUGAGUGGCACCGAACACCCACCACCCAGGAGACGGACGGGUUCCAGGUGAAGAGGCCGGGGGACCUGAGUGUGCGCUGCACGCUGCUCCUCAUGCUGGACUACCAGCCUCCCCAGUUUAAACUGGAUCCUCGCCUGGCCCGGCUGCUGGGGUUGCACACACAGAGCCGCUCAGCCAUUGUCCAGGCCCUGUGGCAGUAUGUGAAGACAAACAGGCUGCAGGAUUCCCAUGACAAGGAAUACAUCAAUGGGGACAAGUACUUCCAGCAGAUUUUUGAUUGCCCUCGGCUGAAGUUCUCUGAGAUUCCCCAGCGCCUCACAGCUCUGCUAUUGCCCCCUGACCCAAUUGUCAUCAACCAUGUCAUCAGCGUGGACCCGUCGGACCAGAAGAAGACAGCGUGCUAUGACAUUGAUGUGGAGGUGGAGGAGCCACUGAAGGGGCAGAUGAGCAGCUUCCUCCUGUCCACGGCCAACCAGCAGGAGAUCAGUGCUCUGGACAGUAAGAUCCAUGAGACGAUUGAGUCCAUAAACCAGCUCAAGAUCCAGAGGGACUUCAUGCUAAGCUUCUCCAGAGACCCCAAAGGCUACAUCCAGGACUUGCUCCGCUCCCAGAGCCGGGACCUCAAGGUGAAGGGGACUCAGGGAGCACUGGAUGGAAGACAAGCAUAUUGGGAAGACAGUGAUGACAGACGUGGCAGGCAACCCUGAGGAGGAGCGCCGGGCUGAGUUCUACCACCAGCCCUGGUCCCAGGAAGCCGUCAGCCGCUACUUCUAUUGCAAGAUCCAGCAGCGCAGGCAGGAGCUGGAGCAGUCACUGGUUGUGCGCAACACCUAGGAGCCCCUGUGAAUGAGCGUCCGUGGGGGCCUUGGGGCUGCCCCAUCCCCCGGGGCUCUGCUGUCACUCCUGACACCUUCUGGGUGGAUUAAAGGUUAUGCAUCUGA
This is an RNA transcript of Manis pentadactyla (Chinese pangolin), 2084 nucleotides long. It is a transcript of the gene named SWI/SNF related, matrix associated, actin dependent regulator of chromatin, subfamily d, member 3, with no coding region annotated. NCBI's taxonomy places the organism in Eukaryota, Metazoa, Chordata, Mammalia, Pholidota, Manidae. The transcript has 13 exons. The record is from RefSeq and is a predicted model, not a curated record.